AUGGUUGAAGCAGAUCGCCCAGGAAAGCUCUUUUUGGUAGGUUUGAUAAAGAAGCAAAUGGGAAAGCCCUUGAAUCAUUAUUUGGAAAAUAGGGAUGGAUAGUGGAAGUACUCUUGAUAAAAGACCAAGAAACCAGUAAGUCAAGAGGAUUUGCUUUUGUUACCUUUGAAAGCCCAGCAGAUGCUAAGGAUGCAGCCAGGGACAUGAAUGGAAAGUCCUUAGAUGAAAAAGCCAUCAAAGUGGAACAAGCCACCAAACCAUUAUUUGAAAGCGGUAGACGAGGACCACCUCCACCUUCCAGAAGCAGAGGCCCUCCCAGAGGUCUUAGAGGAGGAAGCAGAGGAACUAGGGGACCUCCCUCACAUAGAGGGCACAUGGAUGAUGGUGGCUAUCCUAGGAAUUUUUUUUUUUAAUCUUAGGAAUUUUAACAUGAGUUCUUCCAGAGGACCCCUGCCACUGAAAAGGGGACCACCACUACGAAGUGGGGGUCCUCCUCCUAAAAGAUCAGCUCCAUCAGGACCAGUUCUAAGCAGCAGUGGAAUGGGAGGAAGAGACCCUGUAUCACGUGGAAGAGAUAGUUACAGAGGCCCUCCUCCAAGGGAACUCCUGCCUUCUCGCAGAGAUGUUUAUUUGUCUCUAAGAAAUGAUGGAUAUUCAACUAAAGACAGCUAUUCAAGCAGAGAUUACCCAAGUUCUCGUGAUACAAAAGAUUAUGCCCCACCACCAAGAGCUCAUACUUACCAUGAUUAUGGUCAUUCCAGUUCACAUGGUGACUACCUAUCAAGAGGCUAUAGUGAUAGAGAUGGAUAUGAUCGGGAUCGUGACUACUCAGAUCAUCCGAGUGGAGGUUCCUACAGAGAUUCAUAUGAGAGUGAUGACCUCACAGAGUGCUCCACCUACAUGAGGUCCCCACCAUCUUACGGUGGAAGCAGUCUCUGAUGAUUACAGCAGCUCACAAGAUGGGUAUGGUGGAUAGCUACUCAAGCAGCCAAAGUGAUCUCUACUCAAGUGGUCGCAUUCAGGUUGGCGGACAAGAAAGAAGGCUUCCCCUUCUAUGGAAAGGGGGUAGCCUCUUCCACAUGAUUCCUACAGCAGUUCAAGCCAUGGAGCACCAAGGGGUGGUGGCUGUCUAGGAAGCUGAUCUGGUAGAGGUGGAGGCAGAAGCAGAUACUAG
Molecule: RNA transcript, 1174 nt
Organism: Octodon degus (degu)
Lineage: Eukaryota; Metazoa; Chordata; Mammalia; Rodentia; Octodontidae
Gene name: RNA-binding motif protein, X chromosome-like
Exons: 1
Source: RefSeq, a predicted model, not a curated record